This is a long non-coding RNA of Melanotaenia boesemani (Boeseman's rainbowfish), 340 nucleotides long. RefSeq lists it as uncharacterized. Lineage: Eukaryota; Metazoa; Chordata; Actinopteri; Atheriniformes; Melanotaeniidae. The transcript is spliced from 3 exons. The record is from RefSeq and is a predicted model, not a curated record.
UAAAAGCACAGGUGAUAGGAAGCUUAGGAAUUCGCUUCCUCUUUGUCUGGUGGCUGCAGUGGCAGGUUGGCGUGGCUGGGUGCAGGAGGACAUUCCGAAAGGCUGUGGGCAAGCACGGUUGUGGACCGGAGCGAUCGCGCUGCGGCUGGUACCUGGAUGUGGAGUAUAGCCGCAGGGAUUGCAUCAUUGGCUGCCCCUCCUCCUCUACUCCGGAUAACACGGCGCGUUACCGGCACGGAUACAGGUGGCGACUCGGCGGAAGUGAUCAUCGGCAGCCCUGCUGUUCUGGCGUGCCUGAACUGACUACAUUGGACGGAUUAUUCUGGACUUGUGGCGCUGA